RNAcentral lists this unclassified non-coding RNA (208 nucleotides) under uncultured fungus. RNAcentral describes it as "partial contains 18S rRNA, ITS1, 5.8S rRNA, ITS2 and 28S rRNA". Lineage: Eukaryota; Fungi. The record is from RNAcentral.
AAGGAUCAUUACCGAGUAUCGGGCCUCAGCGCCCGCACUCCAACCCUCUGUGUACCAACUUUGUUGCUUUGGCGGGCCCGCGGUGUAACGCCGCCACCGGCUCUCGCUGGUCAGUGCCCGCCAGAGGACCGUCAAACUCUUGUUUAAGCAGUGUAGUCUGAGCGAAUUUUAAUAGUUAAAACUUUCAACAACGGAUCUCUUGGUUCUG